GAUGAAGAACGUAGCGAAAUGCGAUAAGUAAUGUGAAUUGCAGAAUUCAGUGAAUCAUCGAAUCUUUGAACGCACCUUGCACCCUUUGGCAUUCCGAAGGGUAUGCUCGUUUGAGUGUCAUUGUACUCUCACACUUCCGAUCUUUGGAUUGGGAGCGGUGGACUUGGGUGUUGCUGCUUACUGUGGCUCACCUCAAAUCGAUUCGUGCACCUCUUGGUUGGACAUAGUACGGCGUGAUAAGUGUCUUCGCCGGCACCUCAGUAGAGGGUGGCUGAUCGGGAGCUCUGCUUCAAACCGUCCUCGGACAACAACCGACAACUUGACCUCAAAUCGAGUAGGACUACCCGCUGAACUUAAGCAUAUCAAUAAGCGGAGGA
Molecule: unclassified non-coding RNA, 377 nt
Filed under: soil metagenome
Description: partial contains 5.8S ribosomal RNA, internal transcribed spacer 2, and large subunit ribosomal RNA
Rfam family: 5.8S ribosomal RNA (bases 1-120)
Source: RNAcentral